This 943-nucleotide unclassified non-coding RNA is filed under the name Dendronephthya gigantea. RNAcentral's name for it is "uncharacterized skeletal organic matrix protein 2- like, transcript variant X8". The record is from RNAcentral. Lineage: Eukaryota; Metazoa; Cnidaria; Anthozoa; Malacalcyonacea; Nephtheidae.
CUUAAACUUCCAACUUCCAAGCAACUGGUUGAUGAAAUUGGUAAAACGUGAUCUGGUGGUAGCUGAUUCGUAUCAUGACGACGAUGCAAGUUCACAAAAACACUUCACGAGUUUACGUCAUGUAUCAGAAAUUAUUCUUCGCAUUUGCAGUGGCCGUGUUUAUUGCAAAAGCAGGAACUGCUCUAAAAUGCGACGAUUGUAGCUACACUUCAAAGGCUCCAAAGUAUUUGCAAACGUGCAAAAAUACAAGAAGUGCUGACUGCUCAGGUUCCUGUUUCACUUCAAUUUGGACAGAUCAUAACGGAACAACGACUGUUUAUAGAGGUUGCAAUCGUGAGGACAAGACAUGUCCCUAUGCCCAAGCACUGUGUGACGCUGAAAUAGAAAAUGGAGAUGUUAAAUCCUGUCGCGCGGAGUGUUGUAAGACGGAUAAUUGCAACAAUUACACCCCCAGCAGUGCAACUGGCAUCAUGGCGACCAAGAUUACUGUCUUCGUGAUGAUGUUUUCAUGUUUUUUGUUUUCUUAAAUUAACGAGCUUUGCAUUUGUGAAACAGCCUUUGUGGCUUAGUCUUGUAUUAGUUUCUUUAGAACGACGCAAUGUUUAUAACAUUGUAACCAUUUAUAUAUCGUAAUUAAACUGUGACUGAUGCCUAGUGGUCUUGUGUUGACUUUGUACACGUCAUCAACGAGAGUUGAAUCACGGAUCAUAGCCAACUCAAUGAACGUUAUCAGUUAGAAAAGUGGCUUGGCUUCACAAGCUCGUUCCAGCUCUCGCAGUCUGUUUACUUUAGGCGUCGAUGCACUCUCACUGGUCGAGUGGACUUCUGCUUAAUCAAUCAAGGUUAAAACUUGCUCACAACUUAAAUACUCAUCUUCAUCUUGUAGUAAAAUCUUCAAACAGUUUCUAUCAGAAUAAUAUCUUAAAAUUAAACCCCCAAAGAG